UGAGCAAUCUGCCCUUCUCUUCGGAAUAAGCGUUGGAAACGACGUCUAAUGCCGAAUACGACCUCCUUUCGCAUGAUCGGAGGUGGAAAGCUCCGGCGGAGAAGGAUGAGCUCGCGGCCUAUCAACUAGUUGGUGUGGGUAAUGGCCCACCAAGGCGACGACGGGUAGCCGGCUGAGAGGGUGACCGGCCACACUGGGACUGAGACACGGCCCAGACUCCGUACGGGAGCAGCAGG
Molecule: ribosomal RNA, 236 nt
Filed under: uncultured bacterium
Lineage: Bacteria
Description: partial 16S ribosomal RNA
Rfam family: Bacterial small subunit ribosomal RNA
Source: RNAcentral